GACGAACGCUGGCGGCGUGCUUAACACAUGCAAGUCGAACGGAGUGGCGAACGGGUGAGUAACACGUGGGUGAUCUGCCUUGCACUUCGGGAUAAGCUUGGGGAACUGGGUCUAAUACCGGAUAGUGCAAGAUGAGCUCGCGGCCUAUCAGCUUGUUGGUGGGGUAAUGGCCUACCACGGCGUCGACGGGUAGACGGCCUGAGAGGGUGUACGGGGACAUUGGGACUGAGAGACGGCCCAGACGCCUACGGGAGGCAGCAGGUGGGAAUAUUGCACAAUUAGCGGAAGCCUGAUGCAGCGACGCCGGGUGGGGGAUGAAGGCCUUCGGGUUGUAAACGCCUUUCGACAGGGACGCGGUACCUGCAGAAGAAGCACCGGCUAACUACGUGCCAGCAGCCGCGGUAAUUC
This 408-nucleotide ribosomal RNA is filed under the name uncultured bacterium. RNAcentral's name for it is "partial 16S ribosomal RNA". It matches the Rfam family "Bacterial small subunit ribosomal RNA", at positions 28 to 526 of the family's 1533-position model. The record is from RNAcentral.